This is a long non-coding RNA of Alnus glutinosa, 992 nucleotides long. RefSeq lists it as uncharacterized. The transcript has 3 exons. The record is from RefSeq and is a predicted model, not a curated record. Lineage: Eukaryota; Viridiplantae; Streptophyta; Magnoliopsida; Fagales; Betulaceae.
CAUCUAUAUUCGUUCCCCUCCUUUCUUAUUGUUUCUACCAAUCUCUCUUGCCAAAAGCUGAGACAACCCGAGAGAGAAAAGUGGACUGAUGCUGGUGCUGUCCCAUGCGUGUCCAAGUGCUGCAUUGUUUUAGAAUUUCUGCUUUUGACCGAGUGGAAUGCUGCAGGUGCUGCUUUGGACGCAUCACUCAUCAUUCUCCCACUCACCCUCAUUAUUUAACUGAUCGCCAUUCCCUGCAAACCACGCAUCUCACUCUCUUGUAUGCUUUUAUUUCUUUAUUCUUUUCUCCUUCCCCUGUGCUCCUUCUUUCCUCUUCUCUUUAGGACUAAGUGUCAGUGACAGAAUGUGAGUCUGAAAGAGAGAUAAGAUAGAGACUCGAUUCUACCAUGAUCCACGGCACCGAACCCGUAGCCAGCCGUGACUUGUGCUCACUUGAUCCUCCCUUAGCCGAUUUCCAGCAGCAAACCGUCCAGCCCACUGACCCACCAAACAGAAGAAACCAGACCCAGCAAUCCGGCAUGAACCCAGCUCUACCCAUUAACCCGUGAACCCCGAAACCCAUGCCGCACCAUUCCAGCAACCUGUAGCUCAGCAAACUCAGAAGAAACCCGUGACCCAGCCGAGCUCGACUCGUGGACGUGUGCCGGAGAUGAUGAAUUGAGACAGCACAAAAGGACUAUGUUUGCGCAGGUACUGAAGAUUAUGGAAUGGAUUAACUGCUAGCUUAAAAGAUUUAAAGCUGUGUAGUUAGGAUUUUAGUACUUGUACUCAUAGAUGUUUGUACUAUUUGCUUGUAAUAUGUUUAGACAUUUACUUGUAAUUAAUAAGUUCCAUGCAUGCUUUAGUGUCACAUGUGACAUAUGUUCCUUUAUAAAUAGUGUAAAGAUUUUUAAUGUAUUUUCUAGAAGAUGUCAGUUAAAGCUCUGAAUAUAUCGUAAGGGAAUUGUCCCUAUCGGUGAUGUUUUAAAAAAAAAAAGAUAUUCGUAUUUUUC